Molecule: ribosomal RNA, 253 nt
Filed under: uncultured bacterium
Lineage: Bacteria
Description: partial 16S ribosomal RNA
Rfam family: Bacterial small subunit ribosomal RNA
Source: RNAcentral
UACGUAGGGGGCAAGCGUUGUCCGGAAUCAUUGGGCGUAAAGCGCGUGUAGGCGGUCCGGUAAGUCCGCUGUGAAAGUCGGGGGCUCAACCCUCGGAUGCCGGUGGAUACUGUCGGGCUUGAGUACGGAAGAGGCGAGUGGAAUUCCCGGUGUAGCGGUGAAAUGCGCAGAUAUCGGGAGGAACACCAAUGGCGAAGGCAGCUCGCUGGGACGGUACUGACGCUGAGACGCGAAAGCGUGGGGAGCAAACAGG